GAAAUGCGAUAAGUAAUGUGAAUUGCAGAAUUCAGUGAAUCAUCGAAUCUUUGAACGCACCUUGCGCUCCUUGGUAUUCCUUGGAGCAUGCCUGUUUGAGUAUCAUGAAAUCUUCAAAGUAAAUCUUUUGUUAACUCAAUUGGUUUCUACUUUGGUAUUGGAGGUCUUUGCAGCUUCACACCUGCUCCUCUUUGUUCAUUAGCUGGAUCUCAGUGCUAUGCUUGGUUCCACUCGUCGUGAUAAGUUAUCUAUCGCUGAGGACACUGUAAAAGGUGGCCAAGGUAAAUGCAGAUGAACCGCUUCUAAUAGUCCAUUGACUUGGACAAUACUUUUAUGAUCUGAUCUCAAAUCAGGUAGGACUACCCGCUGAACUUAAGC
This 378-nucleotide unclassified non-coding RNA is filed under the name plant metagenome. RNAcentral's name for it is "partial contains 5.8S ribosomal RNA, internal transcribed spacer 2, and large subunit ribosomal RNA". The stretch from base 1 to 105 matches the Rfam family "5.8S ribosomal RNA", at positions 50 to 154 of the family's 154-position model. The record is from RNAcentral.